GGGAGGAUGGCCGAGCGGUCUAAGGCGUAGUACCGGAAAUACUAUGUGGAUCCGCAUCUACCGAGGGUUCGAAUCCCUCUCCUUCCU
Molecule: transfer RNA, 87 nt
Filed under: Schizaea pusilla
Lineage: Eukaryota; Viridiplantae; Streptophyta; Polypodiopsida; Schizaeales; Schizaeaceae
Description: tRNA-Ser
Rfam family: tRNA
About the family: Transfer RNA (tRNA) molecules are approximately 80 nucleotides in length. Their secondary structure includes four short double-helical elements and three loops (D, anti-codon, and T loops).
Source: RNAcentral